Hevea brasiliensis (rubber tree) is the source of this 1193-nucleotide long non-coding RNA. RefSeq lists it as uncharacterized. The record is from RefSeq and is a predicted model, not a curated record. The transcript has 2 exons. Lineage: Eukaryota; Viridiplantae; Streptophyta; Magnoliopsida; Malpighiales; Euphorbiaceae.
CCUGAGCCAUGUUUCUCUCGAAGACUUUAAAACACCGACCCCCUAUUCCCCUCCGCCCUAAAAGCAAUGAAUGAAGGAUUGCUGCAAUUUGUAAUUGCAAUAUUUACUCCAAUUUUCCUCCUCUGCAUACUCCUUGGGAUUUUUCAAUUCAUUAAUACAUUUCCUGGCCUCAAUUUAACACCCUUCUUCCACCAAUACCUCAAUUCAAUUCAAUUUCUCUCUCUCUCUCUCCACCCUCCACCUCUCCCCCAUAAUUAAAUUAAGCUUUAAAGAAAACCCCAUCUCUCUCCCUUCAUUUCCCUUAUUUAUAGUGGCCUUGCAGGUUCAAACCCACCAACACCAAGAUCAUUUUGAUGGUGCUAGAGUUGCUGUUCAUGGUUCAAGCCUAGCCACUAGUCUCCCAUUCACCUUUCAUCUGUUCCAUAAUAUUAACCUCCCUUCCUCCCAUAUUGUAUUAGAAGCUCCCUCUCCUCUGCCCUUAAGGUGAAAUAUACUACACAGCACGCCUAAGAUGAGUCGAAAAAAUGGCAAUGGGCCCAAGCUCGACCUUAAGCUGAACCUAUCACCACCAAGGCCCAACCCCAGAGUGGAGUCGCCAAGCCGAUCAGCGACAGUGUCACCAACAUCACCGCCAAGUUCAUGUGUGUCAUCAGAACUGAACCAAGAAGACACUCUGCGAUACUCUAAUAGCCCUGAGGCUACUUCCAUGGUGCUUGUGGGAUGCCCUAGGUGUCUCAUGUAUGUGAUGCUUUCUGAGGGUGAACCUAAAUGCCCCAAAUGCAAGAGUACUGUGUUGCUUGAUUUCGUCCAUAACAACACUGUGCAGACAAGGAAUAGUUAAAAACAGUAGUAGGGCUUAUUCCUCCUGCUGAUUCUCCAAGUAGUUCUAUUUGGGGUCCAGUUUUUUGCAGCUCCAUUCCAUGCUGGAGUGAUUUGAUUGCUGGGAAUGGAAGACUAAACUUGGAGCCCAAAUAGCACUAUUCUCUCUCUCUCUCUCUCUCUCUCUCCUAUAUAUUUUAUUUCUUCCCUUUUUCUAGUCAUAGAACAAAGAGUAGGAGCUUUUUGGAUUCAGAGGUAGUGUGUGUGUUUUCUUUCUGGGUUCAGCUUUCUUCGCUCUUUAGCAGAAGACAUGUAAGUGGGUUAAUUGCAGCAGCCCAAAUACCCCUAUGAAAGUUAGGUAUUUUAUGAUUUUA